This 1615-nucleotide unclassified non-coding RNA is filed under the name Hevea brasiliensis (rubber tree). The record is from RNAcentral. Lineage: Eukaryota; Viridiplantae; Streptophyta; Magnoliopsida; Malpighiales; Euphorbiaceae.
CGGAGCUCCAAAACAGGGGAAAGAACGUGGACUUGCUCGGUUUUCCCGCUUUCUACUACUCCUGUUUCUGCUCGAGGGAGCCCCCUUAAGACCGCGCUUCGGUGGUGGAGAGAUCGUCCUCAUAGUCAUCUCGUGCUCGUCUCAGUAUGCUGGAUUAGAAAAGGUAAUUUCGUUUGAAACCUUAAUUCAUUCUAGUCUUGGUUUGGCAGUCUGAAGUGUACCAUCAUUUCUUUUUCUUCUGCGUUUUUUUUUAUAUAUUUCUCUUCGUUUUAGGUUCGUUAUUGGCGUUCAAUAGUCGGUCGUUUUGAUUCGUGUUGAUAUAUGUUCCUAUUGCUAAGGCGUGAUACAUGUCUGUGAUACAUGUCUUUGUUAUGAUAGUUAUGCUUAAAAUCUUUUUGAUUUAGAGUGUGUUCUUUCUUUAAUUCGAGUUUCAAAGUGUGCGCCCUUGCUGCUUAUUUUGCUUUUGUCCAGUGAAUAGUUGCUAAGGAAUAUUAAACAGUAUUGAUUUGUCGUCAGUUCGACUCUCAUGUUUGUAUUUUGAUAUCUCAAUGCCUAAAGGCUAAAUCGUUUUUAAAUCAUUUUGUAAGUUUGUAUAGAUUUAGUUUGGUUAAAAUUGUUCUUCAACCUAGACCUGAGCCUUGUUGUUGUCUGUUUCAUCUUUGUUUCGUCCAAUUUCUAGUCGAAAAUUGCUUAUCAUUUAUAGUGGUCUCCUGAAGAAUGCGAAAUGAUUUUAAGAAUGUAUGCUUAUUUCUCGAUCCUGCUUCAUUCUUGUGUUAUGUCUUUGUUUAACCGUGCUCUUCUCUUUGCAUUCUAUAUUUUUCCGUGGAUACUUAUGUUUACGUGCAGCAUAUUAGCUUAAGAAAUAGGUCGCGUGGCUUUGAUUAUUCACAUUUAUACUUCACUUUGUUUUAAAAUGACUUAACAAAGUCCUUGCCAGUUUGUUUCUUUUGCUUAAAGGAGCAUGUUUACUACAGCCUUCAACAUUUUCUUUUGACGAUGAAUUAACAUCAUUAGAUUUCAUUAAAUAGAGCUGGUUAUGCUAAAGCAUAUGGUGUUUUAUUGGCUGAUUCUACAACAUGUUUCUCUCUCGAUAUUUUGGGUUUGUUGUCAGUAAAUGGCUAUGCUUCCCCGGAAGAUUAUGUGUUAACAAGUACAUAUACACGUGUCAUCAUUUAGUACCGUAUUUGCCCAUUACUUUUGUCACUUUAAAUUGAUUCAUUUAGUUUUCCGUUAGAGUUGGAUAUUUUGGUUCAAUUGGAAAUUCCUUAUUUGUUUUAUAGUUUCGUAUAUUGACCCUUGUGAUCAUCUUUAUUACAUGUAAAAAUCUGCCCGAGUCCUCACGGACUUCAUCCUAUUUUCCACAUUUUGGGAGCCGUUAAGGCUCAAAAACUCCUUUCCAUCGAGUCAAGGCAAACAUGCGAGAGUCAAAUGCCAUGAAGAUUGAAGAACUUGAAGAAGCGGAUUAGAAGACUCCUUGAUUUUCUCUAUAUAUUGUAUUUAUAUUUGUAAUGGGCAUAAGCCCUUGUUUGUCUUUACUUUCCUAUUUAUCCUCGUAUGUUUAAACUAGGACAGGUUAAAAAUGGGUUAAAAACCCAAAAAGCAGGUGGGUCUAAAA